UACGAAGGGGGCUAGCGUUGCUCGGAAUUACUGGGCGUAAAGCGCACGUAGGCGGCUUUGUAAGUUAGAGGUGAAAGCCCGGGGCUCAACCCCGGAAUUGCCUUUAAGACUGCAUCGCUUGAAUCAUGGAGAGGUGAGUGGAAUUCCGAGUGUAGAGGUGAAAUUCGUAGAUAUUCGGAAGAACACCAGUGGCGAAGGCGACUCACUGGACAUGUAUUGACGCUGAGGUGCGAAAGCGUGGGGAGCAAACAGG
Molecule: ribosomal RNA, 253 nt
Filed under: uncultured bacterium
Lineage: Bacteria
Description: partial 16S ribosomal RNA
Rfam family: Bacterial small subunit ribosomal RNA
Source: RNAcentral